Molecule: ribosomal RNA, 507 nt
Filed under: uncultured Geothermobacter sp.
Lineage: Bacteria; Pseudomonadati; Thermodesulfobacteriota; Desulfuromonadia; Desulfuromonadales; Geothermobacteraceae
Description: bacterial SSU rRNA
Rfam family: Bacterial small subunit ribosomal RNA
Source: RNAcentral
AGAGUUUGAUCCUGGCUCAGAACGAACGCUGGCGGCGUACUUAACACAUGCAAGUCGAACGAGAAAGGAGACUUCGGUCUCUGAGUAAAGUGGCGAACGGGUGCGUAACACGUGAAUAAUCUGCCCUAAACCCUGGGAUAACUCCCCGAAAGGGGGGCUAAGACCGGAUAAUUCCUUAUUAUUUAAGUAGUAAGGGGAAAAUAGGCCUCUGUUUCACGCUUAUAGUUUAGGAUGAGUUCGCGUCCCAUUAGCUAGUUGGUAGGGUAAUGGCUUACCAAGGCAACGAUGGGUAGCUGGUCUUAGAGGAUGAUCAGCCACACUGGCACUGAGACACGGGCCAGACUCCUACGGGAGGCAGCAGUGGGGAAUUUUGCGCAAUGGGCGAAAGCCUGACGCAGUAACGCCGCGUGGAGGAUGAAGGCUCUCGGGUUGUAAACUCCUGUCAGGGGGAACGAAAGAGAUAAGGCUAAUAUCCUUAAUCUCUAGCACGGUACCUCACAAAGAAGC